RNAcentral lists this transfer RNA (82 nucleotides) under Anaerolineae bacterium. Its description in RNAcentral is "tRNA-Leu". It matches the Rfam family "tRNA". From Rfam's summary of the family: Transfer RNA (tRNA) molecules are approximately 80 nucleotides in length. Their secondary structure includes four short double-helical elements and three loops (D, anti-codon, and T loops). Further hydrogen bonds mediate the characteristic L-shaped molecular structure. tRNAs have two regions of fundamental functional importance: the anti-codon, which is responsible for specific mRNA codon recognition, and the 3' end, to which the tRNAs corresponding amino acid is attached (by aminoacyl-tRNA synthetases). tRNAs cope with the degeneracy of the genetic code in two manners: having more than one tRNA (with a specific anti-codon) for a particular amino acid; and 'wobble' base-pairing, i.e. permitting non-standard base-pairing at the 3rd anti-codon position. RNAcentral also lists the same sequence under 1 other name. Lineage: Bacteria; Bacillati; Chloroflexota; Anaerolineae. The record is from RNAcentral.
GGGGAAGUGACGGAAUUGGCAGACGUGCAUGACUUAGGAUCAUGUGGGGCAACCCGUGCGGGUUCGAGUCCCGCCUUCCCCA